This 1071-nucleotide ribosomal RNA is filed under the name uncultured Microgenomates group bacterium. Its description in RNAcentral is "bacterial SSU rRNA". It matches the Rfam family "Bacterial small subunit ribosomal RNA", at positions 342 to 1422 of the family's 1533-position model. The record is from RNAcentral.
CGGGAGGCUGCAGUACGAAUAUUCCACCAAUGGACGCAGUCUGAUGAGCAAUGCCGCGUGCGGGACGAGCACUUCGGUGUGUAAACCGCUGUCAGGGGUCGCCAAGCAAUGGAGGCUAAUAUCCUCCGGCGUUGAGGAGCCCCAGAGGAAGCCACGGCUAACUUCGUGCCAGCAGCCGCGGUAAUACGAAGGUGGCGAGCGUUGUUCGGAAUCACUGGGCUUAAAGCGCAUGUAGGCGGCCGUGCAAGCGUCUUGUGAAAUCCCUCGGCUCAACCGAGGAACUGCUGGGCGAACUGCACGACUUGAGGCAGGUAGGGGUGCGUGGAACUCUUGGUGGAGCGGUGAAAUGCGUAGAUAUCAAGAGGAACGCCGGAGGCGAAAGCGGCGCACUGGGCCUGUCCUGACGCUGAGAUGCGAAGGCUAGGGUAGCGAACGGGAUUAGAUACCCCGGUAGUCCUAGCAGUAAACGAUGCCUACUAGGUCGGAGGUUCUCUGACGGAGUUCCGGCCGAAACUAAAGCGAUAAGUAGGCCGCCUGGGGAGUACGGUCGCAAGGCUAAAACUCAAAGGAAUUGACGGGGAAAUGCACAACCAGGGGAGCAUGUGGUUUAAUUCGAUACAAAGCGAAGAACCUUACCUGGGUUUGACAUCCCGGUGACCGAUUGUGGAAACACGAUUUUUCUUUUAGACACCGGUGACAGCUGCUGCAUGGCUGUCGUCAGCUCGUACCGUGAGGCGUCGGCUUAAGUGCCGCAACGAGCGCAACCCCCAUCGUAUGUUACAUAUCAUACGAGACUGCCCCCGAACAACGGGGGAGGAAGGAGGGGAUGACGUCAAGUCAGCACGGCGCUUACAUCCAGGGCAACACACAUCCUACAAUGGUGGGGGACAGCGGGUUGCGAACCAGUAAUGGGGAGCUAAUCCUUCAAACCCCCCCUCAGUUCAGAUUGUGGGCUGAAAUUCGCCCACAUGAAGUCGGACUUGGUAGUAAUCGCGGGUCAGCAGACCGCGGUGAAUGCGUUCUCAUUUCUUGUACACACCGCCCGUCACAUGAGGAAAGUCGGCAGUGCCC